AGUAAAGUGUAGAAUCAAUUGAUCUACUAUAGUUGCAUGAUUUUCAUAUCGCAUAUUGUGAGGCAUCGCAUGUAUUUCAAUUUGAAUAUAUAUAUCUGUUGUAUAUUGUUGAACUAACAUGUUACAGUGCCUCCUCAGACCUAUUGGUCGAGCUUUUACCUUGGUUGGCCGUACCCACUGGAAACUAUGGAGUUGGUUCUCACCCCACAUUGUUUUGGGGUGUUUCAGGUUCGCACGUGAGUGGCGCGGCGGCGCAAGGCAAAGGCGUAGCUUCGUAGAUAGUGCCCUACCGUAGAGACUGAGAUAGUAGUACCCCGAGUCAGCAGGGCCUAGGGGUUAGAAUGGAAUAACAACAACCAACUUGUAUUAAAUGUAAUAAUGUGAUUGCAUUUGGAUGUUAAGCAAAUGUAAAAGAAAAAUGUGAUGUAUAAAGUGUAUGAAGUGAAUGCUUGUAUUAGCAGUUAGUUUUAUGUUAUUGAUACUUUCUUAUGCAAUCUUAAUUGAGAUCAGUUCCUGGUUGGAACCUUCGUUUUGUAUUGAUUGCGACGCCUAGGACGUACAGGAAAAACUCUGUCUGUUCGGCAGUCUGUCGGCGGCGCCGCGACCCAGCCAAAUAGGCGGGUGGUCGCGGGCCGUGACAGCUAAGGUGAGUUUUAUGCAAGAUUGGGUCUAGGGUUUAGAUUUAUACCCUAAGUUUUUAGGAUUUGAACUUCUUGCAAGGCUAGAAACUAGCUUGAGGCCAUGAAAUACGUGAAACUCAUGUGUUUCUCAUGAGCUCUCAUGGUGAAUCUCUAGGGUUAGCUUUUGAUGCCCUAUGAAUGGUUGGAAUGGUUUAGGAAUGGUGUUAGAGAGCUCCUUGGGUGGUUUUAAGCUUGAUUUUGCUUAGCUACAAGAUCAAUCCCAAGAUAUUUGACAUAUGGAAUUGUUAGGGCACCAAAUUUGAGACUUUUGCCCUAGGAUAUUUUGAAGACAAAUUGACUUUGUAGAAACCUCAUUAGAGGUAUUCCCGACGCAAUGGAAAACCCGGUUCGACGAAACGAAAAUGUUUAGAUAAAGAUAUUGUAUAAAAAGCCUAAUUUGGCUUAUUUUGGUACAGAUAGUCGCAGCAUGCGGAUUAGGAGCCUAAAAAGUCCGAGAAUUGAACCGUAGUAUCCCUACAACCAUCUAAGGUGGGUGGUGCUAUCCGAAAUCGGUAAAAAUUUUUUUAUGUCUAAAAGUGUCGUUUUGUUGAGCAUAUGUGAAUUUUGAGCAAUUUGCAUAAUAGGGUUAAUUGAGAGCUUUUGUUGUAUGUUAUGAGUAUUGAUGCAUGUGAAAUGAGAGUAAAGAAUGAAAACUUGUAAACCGUAUGUAUGCAUGAAAAGUGAUAAGAACCUAGAUGAGGUAAAGAAUAAAAAUGACAUAGUGACAUGUGAAUUGGGUGGCAUUAGUGAAUGUCAUGUAUGCAAAUGAACACUAGAGUGUGUGGCAUUAGUAAAUGACAAGAAUGCUAGAGUUGAAUACUUAGAGAACAAGUAUGGCAUUAGUGAAUGAUUAUAAAGAACAAGUUAGUGUAUAUGACACUAGUGUAAGUUAAAGAAUGCAAGCAAAGAACAAUAAUGACAUUGUGACAUAGAAACCUUAAAGAGACGGGUCACUUGAGCAUUGGUAUCCUUAAAGUUAAGGAUUGAUCAUACUCGCCUAUAGUUUUAGCUUGAGGGAUGUCGCUCCCCCUCGAGCAGUGAGCUCCGGAGUUGUCACCACUGGGAAGGGGAAUCCCCAGAGGACGGUCCCAACGGGAGCCUGAGGGCCUAAAAAUUAGGAUUUUGAGUUGGUGAGUUAUGAAACCCUACGGGAGGAAGCUGAAUGCCUAACAGGCUGAGGGCCCAACGGGUUAGCCACAAGAUUGUGUAAAGAAAAUGUGAACUUGCAUUCAUCAUGAGCAUCUCAUUGAGCAUAUGAUUGAGUUUAUUAUUCAGGCAUAUUAGCUGCAUUUGUUAGUCGGUUACUAUUUUUCCUUUCUUCUAUUAUGCCUAAUUUAGACCUAGUGGGAAAGUCGGUGAGAUCGGGGCUGAACCUACUGAAAACUUUGUUGUAGUUCUCACCCCACUAUUUUCGCAGAGCCGGGACCGAGCGAACCGGCGGAUAAUCGUUGUAAAGGUAUCGCGCUAUAGUUAGAGACCACCCCAGUUGGUUUCACAUUUUGGUUUACUUGCAUACCCUUUAGUUAUCAUCUUUUGUAUUUUGAUAAUUUUAGCAUUAUGAACAUGUUAAAUGAAUGAUGCAAAAAGGGUUUAUGUUUCAAUGCAAAGCUUAUAUUUUGAGAUAUCAUGUGAUGUAAAAGAGAAGAAAUAAUGGUAAAGAAAAGAAUGCAAAUGUACAAGUUGUAUGCAUGUAUGUGAUUUAAAUUUAAUCAUAGUACUUGUAUGUUGAUUAGUUAGCACUUUCACUUUGGCUAUUGCUUGCCCUCGUGCAAGCCAUUAUGUUUGCUUCCGCAUGUACAAAUUUUAUACUCUAUUUGUACUGUUGUCGAGCCUUGGGCGGACAGGGGAGGCUCUGUCCGUUCGGUGUCUGUUCGAUGGGUCCGAACCGGCCAAAUAGGACUGGGUUCGGGGCGUGACAUUUGGUUUUGUAGGUUUUGAAUUUUUAUGGUGUGUGGUGGGCUGCAUUUGAUUUAGGUUUUAUGGGUUUAGGUUUUGUAGGUUUUGGAUUUUUAUGGUGGGGUGCAUUUGAUUUGGAUUUUAUGGAUUUAGGUUUUGUAGGUUUUGGGUUUUUAUGGUGGGGUGCAUUUGAUUUGGGUUUUAUGAGUUUAGGUUUUGUAGGUUUCGGAUUUUUAUGUUGGGUUGCAAUUGAUUUGGGUUCUAUGGGUUUAGGUUUUGUAGGUUUCGGGUUUUUAUGGUGGGUUGCAUUUGAUUUGGGUUUUAUGGGUUUAGGUUUUGUAGGUUUUGAAGUUUUAUGGUGGGCUGCAUUUGGGUUUGUAUUUUUGGACUAGAUUGGUUGUGGACUGUGUUGUAUUUAUUUUUGUUUGGAAUUGAAGUUUAGGGUCUGAAGAAAUAUCUCUCUUUUUUAUUUUGUAAUUUCAAUUUGGGGUCCGAAGAAAUUCCCUUUUGAUUUAUUGCAAUUUUGAUUUGGGGUUCGAAAAAAUUCUCUUUUUUUCAAAUUGCAAUUUGGAUUUGGAGUCCGAAGAAAUUUUCGUUUUAAUUUUGCAAUUUUGAUUUGGGGUUCGAAGAAAUCCCCUUUUGAUUUAUUGCAAUUUUUAUUUGGGGUCGAAAGAAAUCCCCUUUUGAUUUAUUGCAAUUUUGAUUUGGGGUCCGAAGAAAUCCCCUUUUUAUUUAUUAGAAUUUUGAUUUGGGGUCCGAAAAAUUUUCUUUUGAUUUAUUGCAAUUUUGAUUUGGUGUCCGAAAAAAUUCUCUUAUUUUCAAAUUGCAAUUUGGAUUUGGGGUCCGAAGAAAUCCCCUUAUUUUCAAAUUGCAAUUUGGAUUUGGGGUCUGAAGAAAUUUUCUUUGUAAUUUUUCAAUUUUGAUUUUAAUUGAACCAAAAUUCAGAUGUCCAAAGAAAUCAUCUGAACCGGUUUGGGAUUUUUGUGGUUUAAUUCGAUGUUCUCGAAAGGGAUUGAAGGGUCCGAAGAAACGGGGAUCAUUGAUUCUCCUCCCCUCUUCUUUCGAAAAUGCCAAACCGGCGAGGUUGGAGAUGACUGCGGUGUAGAUGAUGACGGUGGCAUAAGUCGUAACGGCUAGUAGACUUGGUUCGACAUUCUCGAAAGAGGUUGAAGGGUCUAAAGAAACGGGGAAUCAUUGAUUCCCCUUCCCUCUUCUUUUGAAAACGCCAAACUGGUGAGGUUGGAGAUGACUGCGGUGUAGAUGAUGACUGUGGCAUAAGUCGUGAUGGCCGGUGGACUUAGUUUGACAUUUUCGAAAGAGGUUGAAGGGUCAGAAGAAAUGAGAAAUCAUUGAUUCCCCUCCCAUCUUCUUUCGAAAACGCCGAACCGGCGAGAUUUGAGAUGACUGCGGUGUAGAUGACGACGAUGGCAUAAGUCGUAACGGUCGAUGGAUUUGGUUUGACAUUCUCGAAAGAGGUUGAAGGGUUUGAAGAAACGGGGAAUCAUUGAUUUCUCUCCCCUUUUCUUUCGAAAAUGCCAAACUGGCGAGGUUGGAGGAGGUCGCGACAAUGUAAAUCACCCAUCCCAUCAAUUAACGGUUUCAAAUGGGGUAUAGAGAGGUCCGAAGAAAUGAGGAGCCAUUGGCUCCCCUUCCCUCUCCCAUCGAAGUCGUCUAAAUGGCAUAGGUGACGACGGCAGCAGGACCUAAAAAAAAGGAAGAAAAAGAAAAAAGAGAAAAAGAUUUUUCUUUCUUUUUUUUGAUAUGUAUUAUUAUUAUUUCUUUUUUUAUUUUUUAUUUUUUUAUUUUUUUAUAUUUUUUUUUACCUGAUGAUCAAACGGUGGAAGUAGAAUGACAGGCUGGAUGAAGCUGCACGGUGGUGCGGUCGAAGAUCUCUCAUUCUUUGAAAUUUUUUUUUGGUAUGUAGGAACGUGUGUAGUAAGGGUGGAAAUGCUAUUAUCUCUCCUCUUUGUAUCGUAGUCUCUCUCCGUAUCACUAUUCUCUCUCUCUUUAUCUCUUAUCCUUCUUUUUAUCUUCAUAUUUAUAGUAGAAUAGGAAAAUCUGAGGAAUCGAUGAGUGGGUUGAGAUUUUUUCUGAGAGCGACGUGAAUGGGGUUAGGCGAGAGAUAUUUUGAGGAGUUGGUUAGGGAUUCAAAAUUUGAAAUUGAAUUUUGAAUUUGUUGUUGGAGGGAUAGAUAUUUUCUAGUCGGUUGGGAGUUUUACAAAUUCGAAAUUCGAAUGAAUGUGGGUUGUUAAGAGAUAUUUUGGGAGUUGGUUGAGGAUUUGAAAUCAAAUUUUGAAUGGGAAAAGAUAUGUAAUGAGGUUAUUAGGAUAAGAGAUUUUUUCUAAUUGAAUAUUAAAUUUUAGGAUGUGGGUAUGGACCGUCAUUGAUUGGGCCCACUUUGAUGGAGUUUUUUGGGCACAAAUAAUAAUAUUCGUUGGGCUGAAGCGAGGCCCGAAUUAUUACAUAGGCUUAAAAAUUCAACGGGCUUUCAUGAAACCCACCAAUUCGUAUUCAUAAAUGAGCCUAUUGAAUGGAUUUAAAUUAUUAUUAUUCGUCCCAAAAUUUUUUGGUUAACAUGAGACCUACUAGGAUUGUAUAAGUCUGAAUUUAAUUGGCUGUGAUUAUGAUUAGGAUUGCUUUAUCCUAUAUAUAUAUAUAUAUAGUAUAAAUGUUUAUCUUUUUUACUUCAAACAAUAGGAUAUAGUUACAAAGUUACUGGGAACACGUGUACUAAAUUUUAUUACAGCCACAGUGGCACACAUAUGGUCUCUAGAACUAUUAAAGCGAAAAUAGGUACAGCUAUAAAGGCAUAAUGAACAUAUAUACUUAAUUAAUGUGGUUAGGACUAUAAUGAUGGGUUAUCUAUAUAUUAGGAAUAAGGGUAUUUUCGUCCGAUGGCAAAAAAAUCUGGUCCGAAUCUGUAAAAUAAAAAAAUAUGGCCCAAUUUUGCAAUAGCUCAAAAUUUAUAAAUUUUUUAUGCAAAUUGGUCAUUGUAGAUAUAGAUUUUUUUGUUUUUUCUGCUAGAAAUGAAAAGAGUGUAC
Molecule: long non-coding RNA, 5617 nt
Filed under: Ananas comosus (pineapple)
Lineage: Eukaryota; Viridiplantae; Streptophyta; Magnoliopsida; Poales; Bromeliaceae
Description: long non-coding RNA (ACOM_LNC021066)
Source: RNAcentral